This 468-nucleotide ribosomal RNA is filed under the name uncultured bacterium. Its description in RNAcentral is "partial 16S ribosomal RNA". It matches the Rfam family "Bacterial small subunit ribosomal RNA", at positions 28 to 507 of the family's 1533-position model. The record is from RNAcentral.
GACGAACGCUGGCGGCGUGCUUAACACAUGCAAGUCGAACGGAAAGGCCCUGCUUUUGUGGGGUGCUCGAGUGGCGAACGGGUGAGUAACACGUGAGUAACCUGCCCUUGACUUUGGGAUAACUUCAGGAAACUGGGGCCAAUACCGGAUAGGAGCUCCUGCUGCAUGGUGGGGGUUGGAAAGUUUCGGCGGUUGGGGAUGGACUCGCGGCUUAUCAGCUUGUUGGUGGGGUAGUGUCUUACCAAGGCUUUGACGGGUAGCCGGCCUGAGAGGGUGACCGGCCACAUUGGGACUGAGAUGCGGCCCAGACUCCUCCGGGAGGCAGCAGUGGGGAAUAUUGCACAAUGGGCGGAGGCCUGAUGCAGCAGCGCCGCGUGCGGGAUGACGGCCUUCGGGUUGUAAACCGCUUUCGCCUGUGACGAAGCGUGAAUGACGGUAAUGGGUAAAGAAGCACCGGCUAACUACGUG